RNAcentral lists this ribosomal RNA (382 nucleotides) under uncultured marine bacterium. Its description in RNAcentral is "bacterial SSU rRNA". It matches the Rfam family "Bacterial small subunit ribosomal RNA", at positions 9 to 391 of the family's 1533-position model. The record is from RNAcentral.
GAGUUUUGAUCUUGGCUCAGAUUGAACGCUGGCGGCAUGCUUUUACACAUGCAAGUCGAACGGCAGCACGGGGUUUACCCUGGUGGCGAGUGGCGAACGGGUGAGGAAUACAUCGGAACGUGUCUAUAAGUGGGGAUAACGCAUCGAAAGAUGUGCUAAUACCGCAUAAUCUCUCAGGAGAAAAAGCAGGGGAUCGCAAGACCUUGCGCUUUAGGAGCGGCCGAUGCCUGAUUAGCUUGUUGGUAAGGUAAAAGCUUACCAAGGCUUCGAUCAGUAGCUGGUCUGAGAGGACGACCAGCCACACUGGGACUGAGACACGGCCCAGACUCCUACGGGAGGCAGCAGUGGGGAAUUUUGGACAAUGGGGGAAACCCUGAUCCAG